GUGUAGAGCUUAAAAUUAUGCUCAAUGUCACACUUACUGGAACAACUCAGUAUGCUGAGAUUGUCUCAUUUCAUUAGACAUGAUUUCAUCUUUUUUUUCAAUUUUUUUAAUGACAGUAGCCUGAUGCAUAGAUCUUUAAAAGGUCUGCAGAAACCAGAAGAUGAAAUGUAGAGUGAUUCAUCUGAACACUGAUUCAGUCCAAAAACUGAACAAUAGAUUUCACAACUGUCAGUGCUGAGUGGAGUUCCUUGUCUGCUUCUACACUACAAGCCUUCAGUCACCCUUGGAGGAAGCUCAUUUCUACUUCUGAACAAGGGUAUUUUGUUCACGGCACCACAGGCAAGUAUCUAGAAGUAUAUCUAUGCUAGGAAGCGAAGAACUUCAUGCUAAUUGAUUUUUAUGACUCACAUUUGCCAUUCCAGUAUAGCCAUAAUGCUGAUAUAAUAUUUCUGGACAUUUUUAGUUCUUCCAGGAAGUGUUUAGGAAGAGGAGAGCUUGAAUGGCUGCCGGCUUGGUCUGCAGAUGUGUAGUUCUUCCUGGGUUGGAUUUGCAGGGUUCAUGUAAGCAUGAACUCAGACCCUCUGCAAAGGUAGAGGUGAUAUUUAGGCUGCAUUCUGCUGACGUGUUCCUGAGCUUGAUGAAGAGUUACCUUUUUUGACCUGGGAAGAUUGGAAAAGAAAUCUGGAAUUGCAGGAUGUGGAUUUGGCUUCAGUCUUUACCUUGAUGAUUUCAGAAUAAUCUUUGACAUUCAGAAUUAAUCAGUCCUUGGCUACUUCUGGAGAAAACCCCAAGCCAUCAUGGGCUCAGGAUGUGGCCUAACUCCCCAUGUGCAGCAUGGUUCUGGACUACACAAGGUGCAGGCUGUGGUACCAAAUAAGCUGUCCUCAUUCGGCAGGCUGAGCUGCUCUCAGAGGACUUCAUGGCCUUGUAUCACACCCAGAAUGAGGAGCGGGCACCAAAUAAUAAACAAAAAUAUGCUGUCAUCCUCAACCUCUUGUGGGAUGGAGGAGAAGUCUGACAACUUAACUUGGCUUUGCUAUCCCUCAUGGGCAAACGUGCUUCCUUUCCUUCCUGUGAUGCAUUGCAAGCGUAAUGUGUCUUGUCCUGCUGCCAAUACCACCACAAUAGAUUACAGUGCUUCUCUGAGCAGAGAUACUGGUAACAUACAUUCCUCCACACAGUCCUUGAAGAACACUGAAAUUUCAAAGAAGAGAAUCAAAGGCAGAACGCCUGCGAUGAAGGGAGCGGGCAUUCAGCCUACUGCUGGACAGACCUCUCAUCUCCCUCUCGUGCUGCCUCUGCUGUGGAUCAGUGCUGCAGGGGCUCAGGCUGCCAUUCUCAGCACUACACCAGCAGCAUUAAUGCAGCCCAGGCACUGACAAUCUGAGCUAAGACUUGCAGCAGCGCUGCUUCAACUCAAAGUAACAUGUGGUGCAAAAAAAAAAUCUCUUCUUGGCAGAGGACACAACACAGAGAGGGCAAACAGAUGGGGACUGCCUCUACUCUGGUCAGGAAAAAUAGAAGUGUCGUUUGUGAAAAAACCCUGGCAUUUCAAGAGCCGCAUUCCAUUGUGUCAGACAAAAUGAGACCUUUCAC
Long non-coding RNA from Phasianus colchicus (ring-necked pheasant), 1596 nucleotides. The record is from Ensembl. NCBI's taxonomy places the organism in Eukaryota, Metazoa, Chordata, Aves, Galliformes, Phasianidae.